RNAcentral lists this ribosomal RNA (465 nucleotides) under Vreelandella stevensii. RNAcentral's name for it is "partial 16S ribosomal RNA". It matches the Rfam family "Bacterial small subunit ribosomal RNA", at positions 338 to 795 of the family's 1533-position model. The record is from RNAcentral. Lineage: Bacteria; Pseudomonadati; Pseudomonadota; Gammaproteobacteria; Oceanospirillales; Halomonadaceae.
CCUACGGGAGGCUGCAGUGGGGAAUAUUGGACAAUGGGCGAAAGCCUGAUCCAGCCAUGCCGCGUGUGUGAAGAAGGCCUUCGGGUUGUAAAGCACUUUCAGUGGGGAAGAAAGCCUUGGGGCUAAUACCCUCGAGGAAGGACAUCACCCACAGAAGAAGCACCGGCUAACUCCGUGCCAGCAGCCGCGGUAAUACGGAGGGUGCGAGCGUUAAUCGGAAUUACUGGGCGUAAAGCGCGCGUAGGCGGUCUGAUAAGCCGGUUGUGAAAGCCCCGGGCUCAACCUGGGAACGGCAUCCGGAACUGGCAGGCUAGAGUGCAGGAGAGGAAAGUAGAAUUCCCGGUGUAGCGGUGAAAUGCGUAGAGAUCGGGAGGAAUACCAGUGGCGAAGGCGGCCUUCUGGACUGACACUGACGCUGAGGUGCGAAAGCGUGGGUAGCAAACAGGAUUAGAUACCCCUGUAGUC